UUGAAGCCAUCUGGCAUACAAUGAAGUGUUUAGGGAAUAAAUAUUACCUUCACACUAGAAUAUAAGCUUCAUGAGAGCAGAUACCUCAUCUAUUAUGCUGCUGUUUUCCUAGCACAUAGAUCAAAGCACGUGGUGAAUCUCUGAAGAGCCAGACUUCUGGAUGAGCAGCCAGCCGAGCCCAUGGGAUCAGCCUGAAACCCAGAUCUCCUAUACAUCUAGCAGGCCAUGGCACAUUGAAAUUACACGCAAGGCUUUUGGGGAUAUUCACAUUCUCGCUAGGGACACAGCAUCAUGGAAAAAUGAUGUGGUGGUCUAACGUUCUAGUGUUUAUGAGAUGCAAUGCAGAGCUACUUUUGCACAGAAGAUCUAUAUUUUUGAUUAAGCAAUUACCUUCAAUUGUAAUAUGUGGUUACCAAGGAAAUAUGGACUUUCUUCUUCCACCUAUUUGACCUGCAUUUUCUCAAUGAAGAGUCAAUGUCCCAGAUUUGAGAAGAAAGGACUUUAGAGAAACAUUUCGUCCAGUUGCUAUGUGCUAAGCAGUUAAAUGAGCUGCAAGCAAAGAAUGGAAAUUUCCAAUUGCAGCAUCAAGGGCUGCUGUUCUGCUGACAGUCUUGCUCAGCCGGGGUCAUCUGCUUCUCUAAGACAUCAAGGAAUGCCAAGUUUUCUUCAGCCUCCAGUUAUGGCCUAGAGGACUGAACAAGAUGUAUCAGUGUCCCAACUAGCUCCCACAUGUUUCCAGUUCUCAGUCUGAGGCACAAACAGAGGCCACUAAGAAUUCAAAGAUUCAAAAAUCAGCUCUUAGAAGCCUGUGUCACUACAGAGCUGUCAUUGUACCUGCAAGUUCAAGAUUCUUGAUUGCUCAUGGGAACAAGCAUACUGCUGUGGCAUGAAGUGGAAGGUAUAAUUUGGAGCCAGAUGAGAGAAAGGAGGCUCUUUUCAAAAAACUGCAAGAAAUUCUGUAGAAGUCAAACCUUCCAUGGAAAAAGGCUUUAAAACUUCUUUUAAAAACAAGUGGCAGUGGGGAAGUCACCUCACAAAAUGCCCGCAGAGCCUCUCAUUACCGGCAUUUGCUUUAUCAGCUGUGAUGACUCGUCUUGCAUUCAGGGAAGACUUGGAGAAAGCUGGGCUCUGAAAGGACGCUGGAAGUGCCACGUAGAGGAGUGUCCUCGUCAAAACAGGGCCCAUUUCAGAUCCGCCUGGGAUUGGUUCUGGUAGACAAUAAAUUGUAAGCAGAGGUUACAGAUGGUAACUGCUGAAGUCUAAUCCAGUGGGAAGCUACUCCUACCUUCUUGUAUUUCCUCCUUCCUGACUGGACUAUGUAUGUGAUGGCAGGAACUGCAGGAGCCACUUUGUAACCAUAAUUUGGAGAACACAUACCAAAGAUGGCAGAGCAGAAAGACAGAUGGAGCUUACAUUCCAGAAGAAGGCGGCAUUGCUAUGAAGAAUGUCCCAUUGAGGUUUUCACAAAUUUAUAUAAAAUGGGAUGAAAUUAAAGCCUCACAUUUUAUAAGAAAAAAAGGAUGAAACUGAAGCACUAAUUCAUUUUACUCUACUCAGUCUCACUCCGAGUGUUGAACAGUGACUGACCUGUGAAUCUGAUGUGAA
This is a long non-coding RNA of Talpa occidentalis (Iberian mole), 1605 nucleotides long. RefSeq lists it as uncharacterized. Lineage: Eukaryota; Metazoa; Chordata; Mammalia; Eulipotyphla; Talpidae. The record is from RefSeq and is a predicted model, not a curated record. The transcript is spliced from 12 exons.